UACAGAGGGUGCGAGCGUUGUUCGGAAUUAUUGGGCGUAAAGGGCGCGUAGGCGGUGCCACAAGUCACUUGUGAAAUCCCCGGGCUUAACUCGGGGCCUGCAGGCGAAACUGUGGUGCUGGAGUAUGGGAGAGGUGCGUGGAAUUCCCGGUGUAGCGGUGAAAUGCGUAGAUAUCAGGAAGAACACCCGUGGCGAAGGCGGCUCUCUGGAACGCAACUGACGCUGAGACGCGAAAGCGUGGGGAGCAAACAGG
Molecule: ribosomal RNA, 253 nt
Filed under: uncultured prokaryote
Description: partial 16S ribosomal RNA
Rfam family: Bacterial small subunit ribosomal RNA
Source: RNAcentral